UGCUGCCUGAGGGGGGCGGGGCAUUGUUAGGACAGGGAGACUGCAGGAGCGGGAAUGGGGUGAAGUGAGGAAGAGAACCUGUUGAGGGGAUCUUGACAUCCCAAAGGAGGCUCAACAGAGAGUUCACAGGAGGCAGGGAGAGAAGGAUCUAUGCCCCUCAGCUUCUGUAACUGCCCCCAGAACUGUCCUCUCACCACGGCUGCCCACACAGGGAAAAGACAUGGUUCCCCCAAAGGAAAUUAGGAUCUUGGAAGAAAAAUAGAUCUUGGGAAAGGCCCUAAAAUGCUAAUUACCUAUUAUAUACAGAACGGGGAUCCAGAUAACUUCCCACAAGAUCAGAACAGCUGGUUAGAUUCAAACAAGAUAAAACAAACAUUAAAAAAAAAUGUUGACCCUACAUUGAGGGUCAAGAAUCCAACUGCACACAAAGCGAUGUGGAAAACCUACCAGAUCAAUAAUUGGAGAGUGAUGUGGCUGCCAGAAACAUUAAUUCCGUGUGAGGACAUAUUGAUGGAGGAGUAGAAUCUAGGAAAGGAAAGAUGAAAGUUCAGCUUUAUUCCCAACUGAGUUCAAUUCCAAGAGUAGUAAUCCUUUACAGGGGACAUUGUUGACCUAUUAAGAAGCAAAAAGAGAAGAGAUGUCACAAGGAAGUCAGUAAAGGAACUGGUCAGAUGACAUGGUAAAUGGAAAAAGCCGGAGCCCUCUCCAGAGACAGAAAAGCUGGAUUCCAACUCCACGCUUUAUCAGUUAUUAAAGAUUGAUCGUUCUUCACGUCACACGCCACGUCAGACACCAGGGAGCCCUGAGCUGCUUUUCUGUAAGAGCCAAGGGCAGGAAACACUGGGAGGGAGAGCUCAGCUCCACCUUAG
This is a long non-coding RNA of Pipistrellus kuhlii (Kuhl's pipistrelle), 869 nucleotides long. RefSeq lists it as uncharacterized. The record is from RefSeq and is a predicted model, not a curated record. Lineage: Eukaryota; Metazoa; Chordata; Mammalia; Chiroptera; Vespertilionidae. The transcript has 2 exons.